AGUUACGUGGCCGAGUGGCGAGGCAGAGGCCGGCAAACCCUCCUACGGUGGUUCGACUCCACCCGUAACUG
RNAcentral lists this transfer RNA (71 nucleotides) under Niastella vici. RNAcentral's name for it is "tRNA-Cys". It matches the Rfam family "tRNA". Rfam says of the family: Transfer RNA (tRNA) molecules are approximately 80 nucleotides in length. Their secondary structure includes four short double-helical elements and three loops (D, anti-codon, and T loops). Further hydrogen bonds mediate the characteristic L-shaped molecular structure. tRNAs have two regions of fundamental functional importance: the anti-codon, which is responsible for specific mRNA codon recognition, and the 3' end, to which the tRNAs corresponding amino acid is attached (by aminoacyl-tRNA synthetases). tRNAs cope with the degeneracy of the genetic code in two manners: having more than one tRNA (with a specific anti-codon) for a particular amino acid; and 'wobble' base-pairing, i.e. permitting non-standard base-pairing at the 3rd anti-codon position. The record is from RNAcentral. Lineage: Bacteria; Pseudomonadati; Bacteroidota; Chitinophagia; Chitinophagales; Chitinophagaceae.